This 401-nucleotide ribosomal RNA is filed under the name uncultured bacterium. Its description in RNAcentral is "bacterial SSU rRNA". It matches the Rfam family "Bacterial small subunit ribosomal RNA", at positions 355 to 772 of the family's 1533-position model. The record is from RNAcentral.
UGAGGAAUAUUGCACAAUGGGCGCAAGCCUGAUGCAGCAACGCCGCGUGAGGGACGAAGGCCUUCGGGUCGUAAACCUCUUUUCUGGGGGACGAGUAAGGACGGUACCUCAGGAAUAAGUCUCGGCUAACUACGUGCCAGCAGCCGCGGUAAAACGUAGGAGGCGAGCGUUAUCCGGAUUUACUGGGCGUAAAGCGUACGCAGGUGGCUUCGUGAGACGGACAUGAAAGCUCCCGGCUUAACUGGGAGAGGUUGUUCGAUACUGCGAGGCUUGAGGUUGGGAGAGGGACGUGGAAUUCCCGGUGUAGUGGUGGAAUGCGUAGAUAUCGGGAGGAACACCAGUGGCGCAAGCGGCGUCCUGGCCCACACCUGACGCUGAGGUACGAAAGCGUGGGUAGCAAA